RNAcentral lists this ribosomal RNA (279 nucleotides) under uncultured bacterium. RNAcentral describes it as "partial 16S ribosomal RNA". It matches the Rfam family "Bacterial small subunit ribosomal RNA", at positions 506 to 784 of the family's 1533-position model. The record is from RNAcentral.
UGCCAGCCGCCGCGGUAAUACGGAGGGUCCAAGCGUUAUCCGGAUUUAUUGGGUUUAAAGGGUGCGCAGGCGGAACUUUAAGUCAGUGGUGAAAUCUUGCCGCUUAACGGUAAAAUUGCCAUUGAUACUGUUGUUCUUGAGUACAGUUGAGGUAGGCGGAAUGUGUCAUGUAGCGGUGAAAUGCUUAGAUAUGACACAGAACACCGAUUGCGAAGGCAGCUUACUAAACUAUUAUUGACGCUGAAGCACGAAAGCGUGGGUAGCGAACAGGAUUAGAUA